GACGAACGCUGGCGGCGUGCCUAAUACAUGCAAGUCGAACGAACGGAGGAAGAGCUUGCUCUUCCAAAGUUAGUGGCGGACGGGUGAGUAACACGUGGGCAACCUGCCUGUAAGUUGGGGAUAACUCCGGGAAACCGGGGCUAAUACCGAAUGAUAAAGUGUGGCGCAUGCCAUGCUUUUGAAAGAUGGUUUCGGCUAUCGCUUACAGAUGGGCCCGCGGUGCAUUAGCUAGUUGGUAGGGUAAUGGCCUACCAAGGCAACGAUGCAUAGCCGACCUGAGAGGGUGAUCGGCCACACUGGGACUGAGACACGGCCCAGACUCCUACGGGAGGCAGCAGUAGGGAAUCUUCCGCAAUGGACGAAAGUCUGACGGAGCAACGCCGCGUGUAUGAAGAAGGUUUUCGGAUCGUAAAGUACUGUUGUUAGAGAAGAACAAGGAUAAGAGUAACUGCUUGUCCCUUGACGGUAUCUAACCAGAAAGCCACGGCUAACUACGUGCCAGCAGCCGCGGUAAUACGUAGGUGGCAAGCGUUGUCCGGAUUUAUUGGGCGUAAAGCGCGCGCAGGCGGUCUUUUAAGUCUGAUGUGAAAGCCCCCGGCUUAACCGGGGAGGGUCAUUGGAAACUGGAAGACUGGAGUGCAGAAGAGGAGAGUGGAAUUCCACGUGUAGCGGUGAAAUGCGUAGAUAUGUGGAGGAACACCAGUGGCGAAGGCGACUCUCUGGUCUGUAACUGACGCUGAGGCGCGAAAGCGUGGGGAGCAAACAGG
This 767-nucleotide ribosomal RNA is filed under the name uncultured Listeria sp. Its description in RNAcentral is "bacterial SSU rRNA". It matches the Rfam family "Bacterial small subunit ribosomal RNA", at positions 28 to 776 of the family's 1533-position model. Lineage: Bacteria; Bacillati; Bacillota; Bacilli; Caryophanales; Listeriaceae. The record is from RNAcentral.